This 457-nucleotide ribosomal RNA is filed under the name uncultured bacterium. RNAcentral's name for it is "partial 16S ribosomal RNA". It matches the Rfam family "Bacterial small subunit ribosomal RNA", at positions 338 to 795 of the family's 1533-position model. The record is from RNAcentral.
CCUACGGGAGCAGCAGUGAGGAAUAUUGGUCAAUGGGCGGGUGCCUGAACCAGCCAAGUCGCGUGAGGGACGACGGUCCUAUGGAUUGUAAACCUCUUUUGUCGGGGAACAAAGGCGUCCACGGGUGGGCGGAUGAGUGUACCCGAAGAAAAAGCAUCGGCUAACCCCGUGCCAGCAGCCGCGGUAAUACGGGGGAUGCGAGCGUUUUCCGGAUUUAUUGGGUUUAAAGGGUUGGUAGGCGGACAGUCAAGUCAGCGGUAAGAAUGCGGUGCUCAACGCCGUACAGCCGUUGUAACUGCAGUCGUGAGUAGGCGAGAAGUAUGCGGAAUGCGUGGUGUAGCGGUGAAAUGCAUCGAUAUCACGCAGAACUCCGAUUGCGAAGGCAGCAUACCGGCGCCCUACUGACGCUGAGGCACGAAAGCGUGGGUAUCGAACAGGAUUAGAUACCCGAGUAGUC